AAACAGCCCCCUAUGUAUUGGAUCUUUGACACUUUUAGCCCCCAAGACCACUUUUGACUUAGUCUUCGCUGACGUGACAUCGACAAUGGUCGACACGUGGCACCUCACUUAAGGGAUAUGGGCGCCACGUCAGCGAAGACUAGGUCAAAAGUGGCCUUGUGGCCAAAACUGCCAAAGAUCCAAUACAUAGGCGGUUGUUU
Medicago truncatula (barrel medic) is the source of this 200-nucleotide microRNA precursor. It matches the Rfam family "MIR2619 microRNA precursor family". The record is from Rfam. NCBI's taxonomy places the organism in Eukaryota, Viridiplantae, Streptophyta, Magnoliopsida, Fabales, Fabaceae.